AGAGUUUGAUCCUGGCUCAGGAUGAACGCUGGCGGCGUGCUUAACACAUGCAAGUCGAACGGAGUUUACUUAACAGAUUCCUUCGGGAUGACGUUUUUUAAACUUAGUGGCGGACGGGUGAGUAACGCGUGGGUAACCUGCCUUACACAGGGGGAUAGCAGUUGGAAACGACUGGUAAUACCGCAUACCUUACAUUAUUCGCAUGUUUGAUGUAAGAAAGAUUUUAUCGGUGUAAGAUGGACCCGCGUCUGAUUAGCUAGUUGGUGUGGUAACGGCAUACCAAGGCGACGAUCAGUAGCCGGCCUGAGAGGGUGAACGGCCACAUUGGGACUGAGAUACGGCCCAAACUCCUACGGGAGGCAGCAGUGGGGAAUAUUGCACAAUGGAGGCAACUCUGAUGCAGCGACGCCGCGUGAGUGAAGAAGUAUUUCGGUAUGUAAAGCUCUACCAGUAGGGAAGAUAAUGACGGUACCUACAGAAGAAGCCCCGGCUAAAUACGUGCCAGCAGCCGCGGUAAUACGUAUGGGGCAAGCGUUAUCCGGAUUCAUUGGGCGUAAAGCGCGCGUAGGCGGAGCGCUAAGCGGGACCUCUAACCCGAGGGCUUCAACCCCCGGCCGGGUCCCGAACUGGCGCUCUCGAGUGCGGUAGGGGAGAGCGGAAUUCCCGGUGUAGCGGUGGAAUGCGCAGAUAUCGGGAAGAACACCGACGGCGAAGGCAGCUCUCUGGGCCGAAACUGACGCUGAGGCGCGAAAGCUGGGGGAGCGAACAGGAUUAGAUACCCUGGUAGUCCCAGCCGUAAACGAUGGGCGCUAGGUGUGGGGGAGAAGACCCCCCGUGCCGCAGCCAACGCAUUAAGCGCCCCGCCUGGGGAGUACGGCCGCAAGGCUAAAACUCAAAGGAAUUGACGGGGGCCCGCACAAGCAGCGGAGCAUGUGGCUUAAUUCGAAGCAACGCGAAGAACCUUACCAGGGCUUGACAUGCAGGUGAAGCGGCGGAGACGCCGUGGCCGAGAGGAGCCUGCACAGGUGGUGCAUGGCUGUCGUCAGCUCGUGUCGUGAGAUGUUGGGUUAAGUCCCGCAACGAGCGCAACCCCUAUCUUUAGUAGCCAGCGGUCAGGCCGGGCACUCUAGAGAGACUGCCAGGGAUAACCUGGAGGAAGGUGGGGAUGACGUCAAAUCAUCAUGCCCCUUAUGAGCAGGGCUACACACGUGCUACAAUGGCGUAAACAAAGGGAGGCAGAACCGCGAGGUCGAGCAAAUCCCAAAAAUAACGUCUCAGUUCGGAUUGUAGUCUGCAACUCGACUACAUGAAGCUGGAAUCGCUAGUAAUCGCGAAUCAGAAUGUCGCGGUGAAUACGUUCCCGGGUCUUGUACACACCGCCCGUCA
RNAcentral lists this ribosomal RNA (1386 nucleotides) under uncultured bacterium. RNAcentral describes it as "partial 16S ribosomal RNA". It matches the Rfam family "Bacterial small subunit ribosomal RNA". The record is from RNAcentral.